CAGGGAUGUGAUGCUAGAAAUCUAUAGCAUCCUACUGUCCUUGGGGCACUGCAUUAACAAGCCUGAGGUGAUCUUCAAGUUGGAACAAGGAGCAGAACCAUGGAUGUUAGAAAAACCCCUGAACCAGAGCCUUCCAAUUGCCAACAGAAAGGAUGACCUUAUCAAAACCAACCAGAAAAGUGAAGAAGUAAAUUUGAGGCAAG
This is a long non-coding RNA of Lepus europaeus (European hare), 203 nucleotides long. RefSeq lists it as uncharacterized. The record is from RefSeq and is a predicted model, not a curated record. The transcript is spliced from 3 exons. Lineage: Eukaryota; Metazoa; Chordata; Mammalia; Lagomorpha; Leporidae.